AGAUCUCAUCUGAGAGUCUCCCAUUGUCAGAUUUUGACCUAGGACCAUCUCAGAAAGGGAUUCUUCUGAUUCAGAGGAGAAGUCCCCAGGUAUGAAGAGUCACAGCUUCCUUCUGCUCCCCGGUGUGCAAGACUCUCAUCCCUGGGAAACAUUUAUGGAACAGUCUGAAAACUGCUAGAGUGCAGAACUAUCCCAUGGCAAUGGUAUUCCCUGGAUCUGCCACUGAAACAUUCGUUGUCCUCUAGAUUUUCCAGGGAAGUUUUUGCAGUAAAGAAGGAAUGAAGGAAGAGGCAUGGAUGAAGAAUAAGAGAGAAUUGAAUUAUUUUGAAGGACACUCGUGACCAAAAAAAGGCAAGUUCAGACAGGCCUGCUCAUAUCAUUUAGACCAAGUACUAUCAUAUUGUCAUCACUUAAUAAAAGUUGGAUGAAUGAAUGGAUGGAUGGGAUACAUUUACCUGAUUAGAAAUAUAUCUAAAGCCAAGAAAGAGAAAAAGAAUAAUCAAUAAUACCACAAAAUUUUCUCAGUAUUAUUAAGAAUAUGAUUUAUUUUACUUUUUAACUUUCUGUAGUGACUUUUAACAUCUAUCAAGUCUACUAACAGAUUUUACAUUUUAAAUAGUCUCAAACAUUUUUAGAAGACAAGAACACAACUGUAAACUGCAUCUGAUUACAGGAACUCAUAUAUCCAGGGGAAUUACAGUAUUAUUUCCCACCCUAAAUUAUUUAUAAUUGCUGCCACUUAUUGAGCAUUUACUAUAUGCCAAGCCAUCUGCAAACCAUAUUAAGUUUAAUUCAUUUUAUUUAAUCAACUCUCCUGAAGACUUGAAUUGAAUUUUAAUGGCAAUAUCUAAGACAUGACAUUUUAAAGCUGUCAUAUGACCCUAUGAAUUACGUAGCAUACUUGUUUUCAACAUUUCCUCAAAAUAUACGUAAAUGUGCAAAUAUAUUAAUAAGAAUAAUCACUAGCCCAACUUAAGAAGCUACGAGUGAUUAAACAGUCCUGAUUUUAAAAAAAUAAAUAAAACAAAACAACAAACAAACAAAAAAACAAAGUUUUCUUUAAAACCAAAUUCGUGUUAAGUCAGUGGUGUCGGUAGUUAAAAUGAAAUUUUUAGUAGAAUAGUAUAGUUACAGUUAUGGAACUUCUUAAAAGGAAUCAAAAUUUCAUAUAACUGGCUCGGAAAUAACCUGUAAAUGAAAGGAGAAAGGAAGUAUACAGAAAACAAGAAUGUAUAACAGUGUUUAUUGUUCUUAUUUUUCCCUUAAUAUUUGUAUUCUACAAUGAUAUACAUGUAAAACAGUUGAAAAGGUGACCAAAAUUGUAAGAAAAGAAAUCUAAAAGAAUAUGUACUUUCUAUGAUGAUUGUAAAAGUAUUUUGGUUGUAGAAGUAAAAUGUAAUGUGAAAUUUAUUGAUGGAGACAGUUUGAAAAUGUUCAUGAGUGUGACUCUAAGGUGUUGAAAGGAAGAUAAAUGACAAAAAUUUCUA
This is a non-coding RNA of Macaca mulatta (Rhesus monkey), 1487 nucleotides long. NCBI's taxonomy places the organism in Eukaryota, Metazoa, Chordata, Mammalia, Primates, Cercopithecidae. The record is from RefSeq and is a predicted model, not a curated record.